GUUAAGCUAGAAAGGGCGCACGGUGGAUGCCUUGGCACUAGGAGCCGAAGAAGGACGGGACGAACACCGAUAUGCCUCGGGGAGCUGUAAGUAAGCAUUGAUCCGGGGAUUUCCGAAUGGGGAAACCCGG
RNAcentral lists this ribosomal RNA (130 nucleotides) under rice phyllosphere bacterium L. Its description in RNAcentral is "partial 23S ribosomal RNA". It matches the Rfam family "Bacterial large subunit ribosomal RNA", at positions 1 to 131 of the family's 2925-position model. The record is from RNAcentral.